UACAGAGGUCCCGAGCGUUGUUCGGAUUCAUUGGGCGUAAAGGGUGCGUAGGCGGCGGGGUAAGUCUGAUGUGAAAUCCUGGGGCUCAACCCUGGAACUGCAUUGGAUACUGCCUUGCUAGAGAACUGGAGAGGAGACUGGAAUUUACGGUGUAGCAGUGAAAUGCGUAGAGAUCGUAAGGAAGACCAGUGGCGAAGGCGAGUCUCUGGGCCGAUACUGACGCUGAGGAGCGAAAGCGUGGGGAGCGAACAGG
This 253-nucleotide ribosomal RNA is filed under the name uncultured bacterium. RNAcentral describes it as "partial 16S ribosomal RNA". It matches the Rfam family "Bacterial small subunit ribosomal RNA", at positions 524 to 776 of the family's 1533-position model. The record is from RNAcentral.